ACCAGCGGCGAUAUAGCACGUUAAAACCACCAGUUCCCUAUAGCCAUAGAUGACUGAAGUUAAGCAACGUUGCGCGUGGUUAGUAUCCGGAUGGGUGACCAUUUGGACAAUCGCGUGCUGCUGGAU
Molecule: ribosomal RNA, 126 nt
Filed under: Diaphorina citri (Asian citrus psyllid)
Lineage: Eukaryota; Metazoa; Arthropoda; Insecta; Hemiptera; Psyllidae
Source: RNAcentral